GAACGCUGGCGGAGGCUUACACAUGCAAGUCGAGCGGUAACAUUUCUAGCUUGCUAGAAGAUGACGAGCGGCGGACGGGUGAGUAACGCGUAGGAAUCUGCCUAGUAGUGGGGGACAACAUGUGGAAACGCAUGCUAAUACCGCAUACGCCCUACGGGGGAAAGGAGGGGAUCUUCGGACCUUUCGCUAUUAGAUGAGCCUGCGUGAGAUUAGCUAGUUGGUGGGGUAAAGGCCUACCAAGGCGACGAUCUCUAGCUGGUCUGAGAGGAUGAUCAGCCACACUGGGACUGAGACACGGCCCAGACUCCUACGGGAGGCAGCAGUGGGGAACAUUGGACAAUGGGCGCAAGCCUGAUCCAGCCAUGCCGCGUGUGUGAAGAAGGCCUUAGGGUUGUAAAGCACUUUCAGGAGUGAGGAAGGGCGUAUAGUUAAUACCUGUAUGUUUUGACGUUAACUCCAGAAGAAGCACCGGCUAACUCUGUGCCAGCAGCCGCGGUAAUACAGAGGGUGCGAGCGUUAAUCGGAAUUACUGGGCGUAAAGCGCGCGUANGCGGUUUGUUAAGUCGGAUGUGAAAUCCCA
Molecule: ribosomal RNA, 580 nt
Filed under: uncultured bacterium
Lineage: Bacteria
Description: bacterial SSU rRNA
Rfam family: Bacterial small subunit ribosomal RNA
Source: RNAcentral